RNAcentral lists this ribosomal RNA (746 nucleotides) under Klebsiella pneumoniae IS33. Its description in RNAcentral is "SSU rRNA". It matches the Rfam family "Bacterial small subunit ribosomal RNA", at positions 1 to 738 of the family's 1533-position model. The record is from RNAcentral. Lineage: Bacteria; Pseudomonadati; Pseudomonadota; Gammaproteobacteria; Enterobacterales; Enterobacteriaceae.
AAAUUGAAGAGUUUGAUCAUGGCUCAGAUUGAACGCUGGCGGCAGGCCUAACACAUGCAAGUCGAGCGGUAGCACAGAGAGCUUGCUCUCGGGUGACGAGCGGCGGACGGGUGAGUAAUGUCUGGGAAACUGCCUGAUGGAGGGGGAUAACUACUGGAAACGGUAGCUAAUACCGCAUAACGUCGCAAGACCAAAGUGGGGGACCUUCGGGCCUCAUGCCAUCAGAUGUGCCCAGAUGGGAUUAGCUAGUAGGUGGGGUAACGGCUCACCUAGGCGACGAUCCCUAGCUGGUCUGAGAGGAUGACCAGCCACACUGGAACUGAGACACGGUCCAGACUCCUACGGGAGGCAGCAGUGGGGAAUAUUGCACAAUGGGCGCAAGCCUGAUGCAGCCAUGCCGCGUGUGUGAAGAAGGCCUUCGGGUUGUAAAGCACUUUCAGCGGGGAGGAAGGCGAUAAGGUUAAUAACCUUGUCGAUUGACGUUACCCGCAGAAGAAGCACCGGCUAACUCCGUGCCAGCAGCCGCGGUAAUACGGAGGGUGCAAGCGUUAAUCGGAAUUACUGGGCGUAAAGCGCACGCAGGCGGUCUGUCAAGUCGGAUGUGAAAUCCCCGGGCUCAACCUGGGAACUGCAUUCGAAACUGGCAGGCUAGAGUCUUGUAGAGGGGGGUAGAAUUCCAGGUGUAGCGGUGAAAUGCGUAGAGAUCUGGAGGAAUACCGGUGGCGAAGGCGGCCCCCUGGACAAAA